This 6453-nucleotide long non-coding RNA is filed under the name Sus scrofa (pig). RNAcentral describes it as "lncRNA (ENSSSCG00015007074.1)". Lineage: Eukaryota; Metazoa; Chordata; Mammalia; Artiodactyla; Suidae. The record is from RNAcentral.
CCUCUGCGCUGGUCCUCGUCUUUGCCAUCUGGGGUUUGACCUGAUGUUUGCUAGACUCCCAGUUCAAAAAGCCUGUGGCAGGGGUCAGUGAACAAGUGCCUGCAGUGGCCUGUUUUACUAAACAAAGCUUAAUGGGCACAAAGCCAAGCCCAUCAUUUCCAUACCGUCUGGGGCUGCUUUUGUGCGGUAGCAGCAGAACUGAAUAGUCAUAACGGAGGCAACGUGGCCUGUGAAGCCUAAGAUAUUUAUCGUCUGGCUCUUUACAGAAAAAAUUUACCAACCUCUGGUCUAUAGCUUCAAUUUUGUUUCGUUUUCCCUGGAGUGAGGCAGAGCUGUUCCCAGGCCACAGUCUUUUUGUUUUGUGGUGACAGGUCAUUUGAAUGAGGCAAAGGGGGCUCUCCCAGGAUCCCAGCCAGAAAGCAGGUGAAGCAAUCUGUAUUAGUCAGCUCUGGCUACUGUAACAAAAUACCACAGCCUGGGUGGCUUCAACAACAGAUAUUUUUCUUUCAGUUCUGGAGACUGGAAGUUCAAGAUCAAGAUGCUGGCAAAUUCAGUUUCAUUCUGAGGCCUCUUCUGUUGGCUUGGAGGCCACCAUCUUCCCGUGUCCUCACACAGCCUGGCCUUGGAGUGUGUGUGCAUGUGAUGGGGGUGUCUUGUGUCUCUUCUUAUAAGGACACUAAUCUUCUUGGAUUAGAGGUCUGCUCUUAUGCCCUCAUUUAACCUUAACUACCCCCUUACACACCCAGUCUCCAAAUACAUUGGGGUUGAAUCUUCAGCAUAUGAAUUUUGGGGAGAGACAAUUCAGUCUGUAAUAGAAUCCUAACUCUUUUCACAGAAGACUUUCUAAUUAUGCCACCCAGACAGAUGGGGAAGUAUGGCCAUGGAGAAUCCGACGCUUAUUUUGUAUCUUUGGUUGGAUUUCCCAGAUGCAAACUGUGAGAUAAAAACUUAUGUGCCAGCAAUGCAUUGACAACGGGUUCCCUGGGGAUUGUUCAGGGAAUUCUAGAGGAGCAGGGCGAGAGCUCAGGCCCACAGCAGGUGGCUUCAUCCUGCCCUUGCAGGGAAGUGCUGGGGUGCGAGUUCCAUCUCAGAGCCUGGGACAUCCACACCUGUCACUCAGUGGCUAAGGGCUGCCUGAGGGCGGUCCUCCAAUGGGAGUCUCGGGUGCAAGCGUCAGAGGCAAGAUCACAUAGAAGCCUGUGGAGGGCUGUGCAGCAGCUGUGAAAGAGCUUGGAGAGCAUCUGGGCAGGGCGUUGUCUGUGUGAUUACAUCUGCACAGAAAAGUCUGAGGCAACAACAAAAUGUAUAUCCAAGAGUGGUGAGGCUCAGUCUGGGAGGAAGGGACUAAACCUUUCCUCCAGACCUGGCACACAGUAGGUGCUCAGUUAGGCUUCAGAGCUGCUUGGAGAGGAGCUGGAGUGAUGGGUGACAGGCUGGGUCAGAGUUCUGGCUCUCCUCAGAGCUGCGAUACCUGCCUUGAGCCUCACAGUCCAGAAAAACCUGGGGUUUGACCAUUUGCUCCAACGAAGAACUUUUCUGAGUGUGGGUCUCAAAGACUUUCUUUAAAACACAGGGGAGUAGCUUUUCCCCAGCAGUGGUGUGAGGAGAGGGGUUCAGAAACACUGGGGUGUGGUAGGUGGGAACAGAAGAUUUGCAGGUAGCUUGAGUGGGAUUUUUGUUUCUACCUUGAUUUUUCACCCAUCUCAGAACAAAUGAAACAGUGGCUGACUUUACAUGUUUUUGGUCAGUUGUGUCAUGUCGCCUCAAAAAUUUUUUUUCCUCUUUUGGGAAUAUUGAACUGAGAAACUGUUAGAAAUAAAGAGAGUUCAGUAAGGCAGCCAGUCACAAAAUAAAUGUACAGAAAUCAAUAGCUCUCCUAUUUCCAACAGUAACCACUUAGAAAAAAUACUAGAAAAGAAAGACCUCGCUCACAAUAGAAACAAAAGAUAUUUAUCACCUCAAAGCAAACUUCUGGGAGAAAACACACAUGCUGCCCUUCCCUCCCUCGGCCCAGGCAUCCCUCCGUAGUGGGAGGAAAUUGUUAUGACUACAGCUUGGAUUCCUGGCCUCCACCCCUCAGAGCACAGGGGGCCAGCAUUUCUGUGGCUGUCUUAGCGGGAGGUUUUUGUCUCCUCAGAGGCAUGUUGAAGAUAUAAGCUCAUGACAGCUGCUCUGGGCAGCUGCCAAAGGGCAGCUGGGCCUGCUGGUUGCCCGUGGUGGUCACUGUGGGUGGUCACCAGAGCCCAGGGCCCGGCCGGAGCAGGGAGACAUUGGAGUGGUGCUGUUUCCUGGAGAGCCGGCUGGCUCUGGAUGGGUACAGGCUGACCACUGCUCCCACUCAGGGAUGCCUCAGUGAACCAGCUGGCCAUGCCAGUAUGUCUGCAGAACACAAAAGAGGUCACUGAUAAGAGUCUUUCCUGUAACCAGGCUGGUGUCCUAUCUGGGAUGGGGUUAGGUCGAGGAAGAAAUCCAGGGCUCUUUGAUCCCAGGAACAUUCUAAGCAGAUCUCCGACUUGGGUGGAAGUGUCACAUACAUUAGUCAGGAUGAUUUUCCUUUGCAAAUGGCAGAUAGCCUAGCUUAACCUGCUCCCUACCCCAAAAAGUGUAUGAACCAGAACAAGAGGAUCCCACCUGUUUCCCCUAGGUACAGGGCAGACCAGAUUGACUGCCCACUGCCAGCCUUUGUGGCUUCCCAAGGAGUCUACUUCACCCAUUCUCAGGAUGGGCCAGCAAGGAAGGGGUACCAAGGCUACCCAGGGGCAGCCUGCUACAGCAACAGAAAAAGAGGUGGGUUACCUCAGUUUCCUUGCCCGGAGGCAGGAUGGCUCUGAAAUAUGUACCCCACAGAUAUCCUGAAGUUUCUGAGUGGGACUGAGCCCAAGGUGGCCUUUAGCAGUUACAUGCUCCGCAGUGUACCUUCUCUUCUCUUCUCUCCUCUCCUCUCCUCUCCUCUGUCUUACUUCCUCAUUCCCCUGCUGAUGUGUUCUGGGAUGCUUGUCAAAUAAACUCUUUAAGCCUCAACUGAGAGAGAGAGAAAGAGGUGGAAGAGGAGAGGGGGCAGUGUGUGUAGGUGAGAGAGAGAAUGAGAGAGACAGAGAAAGGAACAGAAAAAGGGAAGGAGAGAUUUAGCCUCAUACAACUGGAAUCCAGGCAUAGGGUUAGAUCCAGAGGACUCAAACAGUGUCAUUAGGACUUAAUCUCUCUCCUCCUCCCAUCACUUGGCUCUGCUUCCUUCCUACACAGAAUGUCUCAACACAGUGGUUCCCAGAACUCUCAGGCUUAUAGUCUCCCAACUAAACCACCCUAGCAGAAAGAAGGGAAUCCAAGCAAAUCUUGGAAUUGCAAACUACUGACUUGUACACAUCAGCCAUCACUGAGGCCAGGUGGAUCGAAUGGUCCAAUUGGCCCGUCCUGAGGCAUGUGCCUGUGGCUCCCUUUCAGGUCUUCUGCACACCCACAUUCUCCUUCACCCAUCCACGCGGUUUCAUACGCUGUAGAGAUCGGAAGCAGGGAAAAGGGACUAUGUUUUGGAAGUAGAUAAGGGCAGACACUUGCCUGUGUCACGUGCUGAUUUGUAGACGGGAGAAGCCUUGGAUGCAUCUGUACUUCUAGAGUUGGAUCACUUGCUAAGUGUCACACAAUAUGGGUGACUAUUUUCAGAGAAUCCGUGGGUAAGCCAGACCACUCUUUUCCUCAAAGUUAUGAGACAAGAAAAGAACAUCCCAGCUGAAGUACUGCAUCCUUCUGCUUUCUAGUGAUUUUUGCUGCUAGUGAUUUCUGUGGAUGAAAAGAAUCUUUGACAAGAAAAUAGAAGGUGAGAAGGGGGCUGAUGUCUGGAGAGUCACUACUUUGCGCCAGGCAUCAUCCUGUCUGGUUGUGAUUCAUUUAACAUCAACCCUACCUCUUAUUGACGGGCACACAGAAGUGAGGAGGUGUUAAGUCAGGUACCGAAAAAGCAAAACAGGAACUCUGAGCCUGGACUGUUUUCACCCCUCAGCCAUGGUAUCACCAUUAUUUUCAAUGCUUUCCCUCAGAGAAUGGUGUCAGGAGAGGCAAGUAUGCUCUGCUGGUUCUAUGGUCAGGAUAACUCGUCUUCUCACAAGUUUAAAUACCAUGAUAUUGGAAAGGAGAGACUUUCAGUGACUGGGGCAUAGGUACACAUGGUCUAAGAAUUAGAAGCCAUCCAUUGUGCUCAUGAAAUCACAGAGAGCUUAAUAGCAAAGAAUUAGUCGUAUGCUCCCAUCCAGGCUGGAGAUGCCUGUCUGUGUAGUACAAGAGGCAGGCAAGGGGGACAGGCAGUUGGCUCCCGAGGGCAAGGACUCUGCCUGCAUACGUUAUGACUUUGUCCCCAGCACCCAGCACAGUGCCUGACACACAGUGGGUGCUCAGCAUGCAUGUGGUGAGUAAAUGAACAAAUGGGGUCACACUGGUGACUCUUUUCUUUUUUCUUUUUCUUUUAUUUUUUUUUUGUCUUUUUAGGGCUGCACCCAUGGCAUAUUGAGGUUCCCAGGCUAGGGGUCCAGUUGGAGCUGUAGCCACUGGCCCACAUCACAGCCACAGCAGAGUGGUAUUUGAGCCACAUCUGUGAUCUAUACAGAUCUAUACCACAGCAACCCACGAUCCUUAACCCACUGAGAAAGGCCAGGGAUCGAACCUGAAUCCUCAUGGAUGCUAGUCAGAUUCAUUUCUGCUGAGCCACAAUGGGAACUCCUCUUUUAGCUUUUUAGGGCCACAUGGGUGGCAUAUGGAAGUUCCCAGGCUAGAGGAUGAAUCAGCGCUGCAGCUGCUGGCUUGUGUCACACCCAUAGCAACACUAGAUCUGAGCUGUGUCUGCAACCUACACCACAGCUAAUGGCAAUGCCAGAUCCUUAACUCACUGAGAGGGGCCUGGGAUCUAAUCCACAUCUUCAUGGAUACUAGUUGGGUUCUUAACCCGCUGAGCCACAACAGGAACUCCCAACUUUUUUCUUUUUUUAACAACACUACUUUCCAGUAUCUUUCCAUCACAGCAAAUAAAUCAUUUCUGCUGGCUGCGUAAUAGUUCCUAAUAGGUCAACUUCCAAUACAGUUCAAAAUUGUUUGAUAUAUGUUUAACUAUUGAGUUCCCUAUUUUUGGACAUCUUGAGGGGAGAUGUUAAACAGUGCCAUGAAUGAACAAAACCUGCUCUUAAAUUUUUGCAGUUUUUUCAAAUAAUUUCCCUAAGAUACAUGCAGAAAAUAAUUGCUUAGUUUAAUAGCACACACAUUUUAAGGCUUCCUCCCCCUUCUUGGAGGGAUACACAUAGCCAAAUUGAUACCCAUAUGUAAUAAGAAAAAAUGUCAUUUCUUUUAAAAAAUGAAACAGAUUUUCCCUUGGCACCAUCUUGGGCUAGACAUAGCACAUAUUAGCACUCCAAAGCUAAUUAAUUCAUUUUUAUGGAUUAUUGUUUAAGAUGUGUGGGCCACUGGAUAAGGUUUGAAAAUCCACUUGCUUUUUAUUCCUACCAUCCUGUUCUGCGAAUCUUUGGUGACUCUCUGGAGAGGAUGAGCAUCUUGUCUUUGGGCUGCGAUGCCAUGUCUCAUGGAGCUUACAUCCUGCUUUGCUUCCUCUCCACACCCGUCACCUCAUUAGUGCCUCACACAGGAUCCAGAUUCCAAAAAUACUUGUGGAAUUAAUCGUUGGCAAGAGUGUGAGAAACCCAGACUUGCACACACUGUUGGUGGGAGUAUUAAUUGGUACAGCCACUUUGGAGGCAAUUUGGCAGCCUCUAUUAAAAUGUAAAAUGUGCAUACCCUGUGAUUCAGCAAUUACAGUUUUCCACGUCUUCUCAGGAGAAACUGUUGCACGUGUGCAGACGUUCGCUGGAGCACUGAUCAUAAUAGUAAAAUACAGAAAGCAACUCAAAUGUCUAUUAAUCGGGCAAUGAUUGAAAAAAAUGUCUUUUCCUGUGCAAUAGUUGGAAUGAAAUAGACCAGAGACUAAAUGUUGGGUCCCAUGGGCCAAAUCCAAGCCAGCAGACAUAUUUUAUUCAUGUUGCAAAGUAUUUUUGAUCCAUAUAAUCUGCAACUAUUUUAGUAGAGUUGAUUCUUAUUAUUUGUGGUAGUUAAGUUCUAUACAGUCGCUAUGAACACUGAAUUAGUGAAUACUGAAUUAGUGAAUAUUGAACCUUACUCUCCGGGGCAAAUACAGGAGUAGGUUUCUGUGGGUCUCUGGCCACAUUUUCAUCAACCAGUAAAUAUAUAGCCUUGUCUCAUGUAUGUUUUUGUUUAAAUAUGACUUAUUUAAUAUACAUUAUGGAUUCAUUAACAUUAAACUCAUGGCGGACAGAAUCAUAACUCAUGCCUUAACGAAGUUUAUCUAAAAGAUAUAUUUUCUCCAUAAGGCACAUCACAGCCUUAGGAACAUAAAAUUACAUUUCAGGACAUAACUCAGGGGCCAUUUUAAACAGAGAAAUUACAAAAAAAAAAAAAAAA